CACGUAGGGCGCAAGCGUUGUCCGGAAUUAUUGGGCGUAAAGAGCUCGUAGGUGGUUUGUUACGUCUGCUGUGAAAACCUAGGGCUUAACCCUGGGCUUGCAGUGGAUACGGGCAGACUAGGGGUAGGUAGGGGAGAAUGGAAUUCCUGGUGUAGCGGUGAAAUGCGCAGAUAUCAGGAGGAACACCGGUGGCGAAGGCGGUUCUCUGGGCCUUACCUGACACUGAGGAGCGAAAGCGUGGGGAGCGAACAGG
This 253-nucleotide ribosomal RNA is filed under the name uncultured bacterium. RNAcentral describes it as "partial 16S ribosomal RNA". It matches the Rfam family "Bacterial small subunit ribosomal RNA", at positions 524 to 776 of the family's 1533-position model. The record is from RNAcentral.